Molecule: ribosomal RNA, 425 nt
Filed under: uncultured bacterium
Lineage: Bacteria
Description: bacterial SSU rRNA
Rfam family: Bacterial small subunit ribosomal RNA
Source: RNAcentral
GUGGGGAAUCUUAGACAAUGGGGGCAACCCUGAUCUAGCCAUGCCGCGUGAGUGAUGAAGGCCUUAGGGUUGUAAAGCUCUUUCAGUGGGGAAGAUAAUGACGGUACCCACAGAAGAAGCCCCGGCUAACUCCGUGCCAGCAGCCGCGGUAAUACGGAGGGGGCUAGCGUUGUUCGGAAUUACUGGGCGUAAAGCGCACGUAGGCGGAUCGGAAAGUUGGGGGUGAAAUCCCAGGGCUCAACCCUGGAACUGCCUUCAAAACUAUCGGUCUGGAGUCCGAGAGAGGUGAGUGGAAUUCCGAGUGUAGAGGUGAAAUUCGUAGAUAUUCGGAGGAACACCAGUGGCGAAGGCGGCUCACUGGCUCGGUACUGACGCUGAGGUGCGAAAGCGUGGGGAGCAAACAGGAUUAGAAACCCGUGUAGUCC